UCCCCUCAGCCCCAGCAAAGCUCUGCUACUUCAGCUGCUGGACCUUGUGUGUGAGGGGAUUGAAGAGGGGGUUCUGAGGCACGCAGAGUCCCUGUGCAGAGCCCUGGAUGGGGAGCUGGACCUCAGUGAGACCAGGCUGGACGAGACGGCCUGUGGAUCUUUGGCCCUGGUUCUGGAACACUCAGAGGGGCUGUCAGAACUGGACCUCAGCCACUGCCAACUCACAGACCGCCAUCUACAGCCCCUGCUCACCCACCUGCACAAAGUUGAAGUCCUUGACCUGAGUCACAAUGACAUCACUGAUGCUCUGACCGACAGAAUACUCCAACUGGUCUCCACCAACACUUCAAUACGCACCGUACGGCUCUUCAACAACAGAAUCAAGGACAGAAGUCCGUUCCUGACAGACAAGAGGUUUGAGAUCUGGUGAAGCAGCAUCAGGUCCAAGUCCAGACAGGAAGAGAAGAUGGAUGUGGAAGAGGCAGAGGAAGAGAAGAUGGAUGUUGAAGAGGAAGAGAAGAUGGAUGUUGAAGAUGGGUGUAGUAGCUACGAAGCCUCGGCAGGGUGAGACUAGAGGGACUCUUCUGACCAGCAUCUCAUCAACCCUAACCUUGACCCUAACCGUAACCUAAUUUUAACCAAUUCUUAAAUUAAAUAUUGGUUUGCAUGUCAGCCACAUCCCCUUAGUUUUUAGCUGACCUCAUCAUGAUGACAGAAGUAUGACCAGUGAUGUCAUCAGGGAUUUGGGGACUAAGGUAUUGAAAAAAUAGUUGAGACUCCAGAACUCUUGAAUGUUCUGAGUGUGAAGGAUAGGAAUGUGUAGUUUUAUUUACCUCUUACAUAGUUCUUAAAAACACAGGAACAUGUGUACUAUAACGUUUUUUGAGCUUUACUUAACUCGAUGAUUUUUGUGAUGAGUCAAUUUGAGAAAUUUCUUCAGAAGGAAUAGAUUGUAUAUGUGUUUUUAUAGUCUAGUAUUUAUCAGGUUGAUGUGAAUGUGUUCUACAGUUGCAGUGGGAGACUAAUACAUGAGUGUUUUGUUGCAGGUCAACUGCAUGGUAUUGUGUUACUCAGGCUAGCCUUGUUGAGAACCAAGCUUCCCUAUUCAGGAAGCAAAAGGUGUGUUGAGUUCUCUUGAACGUUUGCUAUGUUAUGCAACGUUUUGUACUGAAUGACACGUUUCCCCAAAAUGUUCUUGAACAGACUUCGAGGUACGUUUGGUGGGUGUGGCGAGGUGUGGCUUGAAGCAAUGAGUAACAUAUUUUUAUUUUUAAAGGGCAGUGGACAUGCUGACAGCGUUCUCCAACCCACAACCUAACCCCUCCCCAUUUUUCAACUGGUUGUUCGGUACAGCACCGUUUACCUUCAAUUGAACCGUUUCAGAACGUAAAAACAUACUGAACGCAGCCCUGGUGUAGUUCAUGACAGAAAGUAGCUACAAGUGGGUGGAAACCAUUGAUGCCUCGCAACACGUCACACCAAUCAAUUGCCUUGCUUUGGAGGAGCACUAAAGGUGCCCACUAGUGCCGUAGGAGGAACAGUGUGAGGAUGCCCAGGAAAUCGCUGAUGUAUAACAUGUACACACACCAUAACAAAAUGUAUUUAGUAGAGCAGUUGUAAUGCCUUCAUCAACUUGUGAAGAACAUUACACGCAGCUUCCCUUUUAGGGGCAUGUGGGGGAGGUUUCUUGAAAUAUAACAUCCAAUCAAAAUGUAGCCGCUGGAACCCAGCAGACCAUUCUAACUGUUUUGGCUAAUACAAAAUUCUCCAGACCUCCAAAGGAGGCAUGACAACAAUGUGAUUUUGGAGGUAUGGCUACAUGAGACUAGUACAAGCCUUUCUCAUAUCAAAACAGACAAACUAUAAGAAAUAAUAUAUGAAUAUUUUGUGUUUUUAAUAAAUGUACCUUGAGGCCCAUYAUUGGUUUUUGACUGUGUUCUCUUCAGGUUGAAAUCAUUACUAAUAAAUCCUAAAUAAUCUG
Salvelinus sp. IW2-2015 is the source of this 1981-nucleotide long non-coding RNA. RefSeq lists it as uncharacterized. The record is from RefSeq and is a predicted model, not a curated record. The transcript has 3 exons. NCBI's taxonomy places the organism in Eukaryota, Metazoa, Chordata, Actinopteri, Salmoniformes, Salmonidae.